This is a non-coding RNA of Dicentrarchus labrax (European seabass), 450 nucleotides long. The record is from the annotation of a RefSeq genome assembly. Lineage: Eukaryota; Metazoa; Chordata; Actinopteri; Moronidae.
CUGACUGCAGAGAGGAUGACAGAGAACAGUGGACACACAGUUUAACAUGAUGGACUAUAGGACAGGACUGCUGCUGUUAACUAUCUGCUGGGCAGGUGUUGAUGGUCAGACUCUGACAGAAUCUGAACCAGUGGUUAAAAGGCCUGGAGAAUCUCACAGAUUGACCUGUACAGCCUCUGGAUUCACAUUCAGCAGCUACGAGAUGCACUGGGUCAGACAGGCUCCUGGAAAAGGACUGGAGUGGAUUGCUUAUAUCGACAGUGGCAGUGGCAGUAGCAAAUACUACUCUCAGUCAGUUCAAGGCCGGUGUACCAUCUCCAGAGACAACAGCAGACAGCAGGUGUAUCUGCAGAUGAACAGUCUGAAGACUGAAGAUUCUGCUGUUUAUUAUUGUGCUCGAGAGCCACAGUGACUGGAGUUGGUUGAGCAGCUGUACAAAAUCCUACAGUA